CACGUAGGGCGCAAGCGUUGUCCGGAAUUAUUGGGCGUAAAGAGCUCGUAGGCGGUCUGUUGCGUCCGCUGUGAAAACCCAGGGCUUAACCCUGGGCUGGCAGUGGAUACGGACAGACUAGAGGUAGGUAGGGGAGAAUGGAAUUCCCGGUGUAGCGGUGAAAUGCGCAGAUAUCAGGAGGAACACCGGUGGCGAAGGCGGGUCUCUGGGCCGAAACUGACGCUGAGGAGCGAAAGCGUGGGGAGCGAACAGG
Molecule: ribosomal RNA, 253 nt
Filed under: uncultured bacterium
Lineage: Bacteria
Description: partial 16S ribosomal RNA
Rfam family: Bacterial small subunit ribosomal RNA
Source: RNAcentral